AGUCAGCUCGUGUUGUGAAACUUGCGUUAAAUUCCCGCAAAGAGCGCAACCCUUAUCCUUUUUUUGCCAGCGAUUAGGUCGGGAACUCAAAGGAGACUGCCGGUGAUAAACCGGAGGAAGGUGGGGAUGAUGUCAAGUCAUCAUGGCCCUUACGAGUAGGGCUACACACGUGCUACAAUGGCGUAUACAAAGAGAAGGGACCUCGCGAGAGCAAGCGGAACUCAUAAAGUUCGUCGUAGUCCGGAUUGGAGUCUGCAACUCGACUCCAUGAAGUCGGAAUCGCUAGUAAUCGUUGAUCAGAAUGUAACGGUGAAUAUGUUCCCGGGCCUUGUACACCCCGCCCGUCACACCAUGGGAGUGGGUCGCAAAAGAAAGUAGGUAGCGUUACACCAUUUUGGG
RNAcentral lists this ribosomal RNA (399 nucleotides) under Providencia vermicola. RNAcentral's name for it is "bacterial SSU rRNA". It matches the Rfam family "Bacterial small subunit ribosomal RNA", at positions 1053 to 1448 of the family's 1533-position model. The record is from RNAcentral. Lineage: Bacteria; Pseudomonadati; Pseudomonadota; Gammaproteobacteria; Enterobacterales; Morganellaceae.